AGCGAACGCUGGCGGCGUACGUAACACAUGCAAGUCGAGCGCGGGUUGGGGGGCAACUCCCGGCCUGAGCGGCGCACGGGUGAGUAACACGUGGGUGACCUGUCCUGGAGCCGGGGAUACCCCUUCGAAAGGAGGGCUAAUACCGGGUACGCUCCUUGAGCUGCGAGGCCUGGGGAGGAAAGGUAGCUGGCAACGGCUGCCGCUCGAGGAGGGGCUCGCGGCCUAUCAGCUAGNGGUGAGGUAACGGCUCACCAAGGCGAUGACGGGUAGCUGGUCUGAGAGGACGACCAGCCACACGGGGACGUGAGACACGGCCCCGACUCCUACGGGAGGCAGCAGUGGGGAAUCUUCCGCAAUGGGCGCAAGCCUGACGGAGUGACGCCGCGUGGGGACGAA
Molecule: ribosomal RNA, 396 nt
Filed under: uncultured bacterium
Lineage: Bacteria
Description: bacterial SSU rRNA
Rfam family: Bacterial small subunit ribosomal RNA
Source: RNAcentral